AACCUACCUUGUACUGGGGGACAACAGUUAGAAAUGACUGCUAAUACCGCAUAAGACCACAGUUUCGCAUGAAACAGGGGUAAAAACUCCGGUGGUACAAGAUGGACCCGCGUCUGAUUAGCUAGUUGGUGGGGUAACGGCCUACCAAGGCGACGAUCAGUAGCCGGCCUGAGAGGGUGAACGGCCACAUUGGGACUGAGACACGGCCCAAACUCCUACGGGAGGCAGCAGUGGGGAAUAUUGCACAAUGGGCGAAAGCCUGAUGCAGCGACGCCGCGUGAGUGAAGAAGUAUUUCGGUAUGUAAAGCUCUAUCAGCAGGGAAGAAAAUGACGGUACCUGACUAAGAAGCCCCGGCUAACUACGUGCCAGCAGCCGCGGUAAUACGUAGGGGGCAAGCGUUAUCCGGAUUUACUGGGUGUAAAGGGAGCGUAGACGGCAAGGCAAGUCUGAUGUGAAAGCUCGGGGCUCAACCCCGGAACUGCAUUGGAAACUGUUUUGCUAGAGUGCAGGAGAGGUAAGUGGAAUUCCUAGUGUAGCGGUGAAAUGCGUAGAUAUUAGGAGGAACACCAGCGGCGAAGGCGGCUUACUGGACUGUAACUGACGUUGAGGCUCGAAAGCGUGGGGAGCAAACAGGACAAGAUACCCUGGUAGUCCACGCCGUAAACGAUGAAUUACUUGGUGUCGGGGGUCGAAUAGGACUUUCGGUGCCGCAGCUAACGCAAUAAGUAAUCCCUCUGGGGAGUACGUUGGCAAGAAAGAAACUCAAAAGAAUAGACGGGGACCCGCACAAGCGGUGGAGCAUGUGGUUUAAUUCGAAGCAACGCGAAGAGCCUUACCAAGUCUUGACAUCCCAUUGAAAAACAGAGUAAUGUCUGUUUCCUCUUCGGAGCAAUGGAGACAGGUGGUGCAUGGUUGUCGUCAGCUCGUGUCGUGAGAUGUUGAGUUAAGUCCCGCAACGAGCGCAACCCCUAUCUUUAGUAGCCAGCAAUUCGGUUGGGCACUCUAGAGAGACUGCCAGGGAUAACCUGGAGGAAGGCGGGGAUGACGUCAAAUCAUCAUGCCCCUUAUGACUUGGGCUACACACGUGCUACAAUGGCGUAAACAAAGAGAAGCAAAACCGCGAGGUCAAGCCAAUCUCAAAAAUAACGUCUCAGUUCGGAUUGUAGUCUGCAACUCGACUACAUGAAGCUGGAAUCGCUAGUAAUCGCGAAUCAGAAUGUCGCGGUGAAUACGUUCCCG
This 1240-nucleotide ribosomal RNA is filed under the name uncultured bacterium. RNAcentral's name for it is "bacterial SSU rRNA". It matches the Rfam family "Bacterial small subunit ribosomal RNA", at positions 123 to 1376 of the family's 1533-position model. The record is from RNAcentral.